CUCAGAGAGUCCAUCCAAGACUAGCCCAACUCUACUGAUUUUGAUAGAAAGAAUAUGUAUUCAACUGACGGACGGUUCAGCUCCUUGCCCUCAGGGUCCAGUCGUUUACCGGUCAACCGGGUUUCUAUAUCUCUACACACUUCUUUUGCAAGGUCUCAACUGGCCAAGACGUGUGAAGGGCCCUCCAGGAUUGUUGUGACCCAGGCCAACAUUCCGUUGUGGUCAAACGUCACUUAUGACGGCGACAAGAAAAAGCUCCUGGUCACCUCAAAGCUGUUCAACAUGUUUGUCCAGUGUCUUUCUGGGGAUGGAUAUGACCGUGAUGGACCAGAAUGGGCUGUGGGGACGUCAUGUCCUUCUGAUAAUCUAUCGGAAGGGUGGGAAGGAUGGAAGGCCUCAACUCGAUUGCAGCUAAACGAAAAGCA
Molecule: long non-coding RNA, 425 nt
Organism: Coregonus clupeaformis (lake whitefish)
Lineage: Eukaryota; Metazoa; Chordata; Actinopteri; Salmoniformes; Salmonidae
Exons: 3
Source: RefSeq, a predicted model, not a curated record